RNAcentral lists this ribosomal RNA (253 nucleotides) under uncultured bacterium. Its description in RNAcentral is "partial 16S ribosomal RNA". It matches the Rfam family "Bacterial small subunit ribosomal RNA", at positions 524 to 776 of the family's 1533-position model. The record is from RNAcentral.
UACAGAGGUCUCAAGCGUUGUUCGGAUUCAUUGGGCGUAAAGGGUGCGUAGGUGGUUGGGUAAGUCAAAUGUGAAAUCCCGGAGCUCAACUCCGGAACUGCAUUCGAUACUGCCCGGCUCGAGGAUUGGAGAGGAGACUAGAAUUCACGGUGUAGCAGUGACAUGCGUAGAGAUCGUGAGGAACACCCGUGGCGAAGGCGGGUCUCUGGACAAUUCCUGACACUGAGGCACGAAGGCCACGGGAGCAAACGGG